GAUGAACGCUGGCGGCGUGCCUAAUACAUGCAAGUCGAGCGAACGGACGAGAAGCUUGCUUCUCUGAUGUUAGCGGCGGACGGGUGAGUAACACGUGGAUAACCUACCUAUAAGACUGGGAUAACUUCGGGAAACCGUAGCUAAUACCGGAUAAUAUUUUGAACCGCAUGGUUCAAAAGUGAAAGACGGUCUUGCUGUCACUUAUAGAUGGAUCCGCGCUGCAUUAGCUAGUUGGUAAGGUAACGGCUUACCAAGGCAACGAUGCAUAGCCGACCUGAGAGCGUGAUCGGCCACACUGGAACUGAGACACGGUCCAGACUCCUACGGGAGGCAGCAGUAGGGAAUCUUCCGCAAUGGGCGAAAGCCUGACGGAGCAACGCCGCGUGAGUGAUGAAGGUCUUCGGAUCGUAAAGCUCUGUUAGUAGGGAAGAACAUAUGUGUAAGUAACUGUGCACAUCUUGACGGUACCUAAUCAGAAAGCCACGGCUAACUACGUG
This 497-nucleotide ribosomal RNA is filed under the name uncultured bacterium. RNAcentral describes it as "partial 16S ribosomal RNA". It matches the Rfam family "Bacterial small subunit ribosomal RNA", at positions 28 to 507 of the family's 1533-position model. The record is from RNAcentral.